CCCUUAGAUGUUCUGGGCCGCACGCGCGCUACACUGACGAAGUCAGCGAGCAUGUCCUACGCCGACAGGUGCGGGGAAUCUUGUCAAACUUCGUCGUGAUGGGGAUUGAUUAUUGAAAUUCUUGAUCAUCAACGAGGAAUUCCUAGUAAGCGCAAGUCAGCAGCUUGCGUUGAUUACGUCCCUGCCCUUUGUACACACCGCCCGUCGCACCUACCGAUUGAAUGGUCCGGUGAAAUCUUCGGACCGUGACUUUGAUUUGUUUACUCAAAACGCUGUUACGGGAAGUUGAUUAAACCUUACCAUUUAGAGGAAGGUGAAGUCGUAACA
This 327-nucleotide ribosomal RNA is filed under the name uncultured eukaryote. RNAcentral describes it as "partial 18S ribosomal RNA". It matches the Rfam family "Eukaryotic small subunit ribosomal RNA", at positions 1470 to 1796 of the family's 1831-position model. The record is from RNAcentral.